GUGUCAAGGAUACAUAUACUGGAGCUACUUGAAAGGCACGAAUAAAGAACUGAUGUCAAGUAAAGAAGCAUGCAAGAAUGUCAAGAUCGUCACAAGAGGAGCCUACUAGCAGAAACCAAACAGUAGAAAUUGCACAACAACGGUCGUCCAUUGUUCUGACUGGAGAUGAUAUUCUAACAAUUUGUGAGAAGCUGAGAAGUGCAAGCAAAGAUUGGUUCAACUUGGGACUGGCUCUCGGAAUGAAGAUUACCGACUUGGAAGACAUUGAAGAUGCAUACCGCCAUAACCAACGUCGCGUAAUGAAGAUGGUAGCCAAGCGUCUUGAAGUCACUGAUCCAGAGCACCCGAUGACAUGGCCUUACAUAUGUGAAUGUCUAAGGAGUCCUACUGUUGAGCGUAACGAUGUAGCCGAGGAAAUUGAAGACAAGUAUGUGAGGACAGCAACUGCAGUUGCUCAUAGUGCCACCAAUUGAUCAUGAGAACCUGACAAGCUUGAAGGGGACGAAUAAAGUAAAGAAGCAUAAAGAAGCAUACAUGCAAGAAUUAAGUAAAGAAGCAUAAAUAAUAUGUGGUUUCCUGGCAUUGAAC
Halichondria panicea is the source of this 588-nucleotide long non-coding RNA. RefSeq lists it as uncharacterized. The transcript has 4 exons. The record is from RefSeq and is a predicted model, not a curated record. NCBI's taxonomy places the organism in Eukaryota, Metazoa, Porifera, Demospongiae, Suberitida, Halichondriidae.